Molecule: long non-coding RNA, 318 nt
Filed under: Erythranthe guttata (spotted monkey flower)
Lineage: Eukaryota; Viridiplantae; Streptophyta; Magnoliopsida; Lamiales; Phrymaceae
Description: long non-coding RNA (EGUT_LNC002475)
Source: RNAcentral
AUUCUAACCCUAUCCCGCCGCCAACAGCACUCCCCCUCCCCAACCCCACAUUCAUCUUUGUUGAUGAAAAACUAGGAAUCAAAUUCAAGCAACAACCAUUUAUCAAAAUCGGCUACAAAACUAGCAGUCAAAUCAAUUCGGAUGAUGGUGCAAUGACGGAGAUGGGUUGUUGCUUGUUAGGCAUCAGGUUGGAGCAGAGGCGGCGUGGAUAGUGAAUUGGAUGGCGGUGGAGGAUUUGGUUUUACACCUGUAAUGGUGGUGGUAGCGCGGCCGCGGCGGAGCAAAGGUGGUGGUGAUAUGGUGAGGUCUCCCCUGUUC